GUACCAAGUACAAUGAAUUCAAAUUAACUUUCGAUUGUAAAGACAGCGACUUUUUCUCGUGGGAGUCGUGGGUUGUUGCCAUUUUACGCCCGCCAUUGAGGUUGCGGCCUACACUCACACGCAACUAUAAAAUCUCCAUUGCAGCCGCGAUUGAAAUUCAAUCUUUAAAUCAUCACAUUAUCAGAUUCCAGUAUUAUUCCCUUUUGUUUCAUGUGGGCAAUUGAUAUUGAAGUGGAAGUGAGAGCCUCAUUGUGAAGUAUAUAAAUUGUUUGUUUUCGUCGAAAAAAGGACCAAUGAAUACUUCAGAGGCAGUUCUACGGGUUCUGGGCAGCGGUGUGCCUGGCCUAUUCGGGUCUGAUCAAUGUUUUAGGGCAUCAGGCCAAGGACAUCCUUCUGGUUCCUUGCUAAACUUGAGAAAUAAAAGAGGCUUAAAAUAUAUGAAAAUGCUCAAAUGUUCGAACCAUUUAUACCUUAACAUAAACAGUCGGUCAUUUAUGGGGGGUUGUCGGAGAGAUUUGCAUGGAUUUGGUACCGGCCCUCUAAGGCGGAUGUGCUACAACUGCCAAAAAGCGGAUAGUGUAAGCGGGAUUGCAGCAGAAAAUGGGAAUGGAGCAUUGUUUGUAGAUAAUACUAAGGGAUUUGACACGGCUCGUGAGGAUUUUGUGUCCAAUGGAAGCUUACAAACGAAUGGAACAAUUCGGGACACUAGCAACGGGAAGAUUAGUAGCCCGUUUGUGGAUGAGGCAUGGGAACUAUUGAAGGAGUCGGUUGUUUACUAUUGUGGCAACCCCGUAGGAACAAUUGCUGCAAAGGACCCAACUGCUUCUGAUGUUAGUGUUCUGAACUACGAUCAAGUCUUUAUCCGUGACUUUAUACCUUCUGGCAUAGCUUUUCUGUUGAAGGGAGAGUACGAUAUUGUUCGGAACUUCAUCCUUCAUACGCUUCAGCUUCAGAGCUGGGAGAAAACAAUGGAUUGUCACAGUCCCGGUCAGGGGUUAAUGCCCGCCAGUUUCAAAGUCCGUACAAUUCCUAUGGAUGGUGAUGACUCUGCAACGGAAGAGGUGCUGGAUCCCGACUUUGGAGAGGCCGCAAUUGGCCGUGUCGCACCAGUUGAUUCCGGACUAUGGUGGAUUAUUUUGUUACGUGCGUAUGGAAAAUGUUCGGGUGAUCUCUCGCUUCAGGAGAGAGUGGAUGUUCAGACUGGAAUUAAGAUGAUACUCAGGCUAUGUCUUGCUGAUGGAUUUGAUAUGUUCCCGACAUUGUUGGUCACCGAUGGUUCGUGCAUGAUAGAUCGGCGUAUGGGAAUUCAUGGUCACCCGUUAGAGAUUCAGGCGCUUUUCUAUUCUGCAUUACUCGGUGCACGAGAAAUGCUCACACCCGAGGAUAGUUCAGCUGAACUUAUUCGAGCAUUGAACAAUCGUCUUGUUGCUUUAUCGUUCCAUAUAAGGGAAUAUUAUUGGACCGAUAUGAAAAAACUAAAUGAGAUAUACCGUUACAAUACAGAAGAGUACUCGUACGAUGCUGUUAACAAGUUCAACAUCUACCCUGAUCAGAUUCCCCAUUGGCUGGUUGAGUGGAUGCCGAAUAAAGGAGGUUAUCUAAUUGGAAACUUGCAACCUGCUCACAUGGAUUUCCGGUUCUUUUCUCUCGGGAACUUGUGGUCUAUAGUCAGCAGUCUUGCCACGGCCGAUCAGUCACAUGCCAUAUUAGAUCUCGUCGAAACCAAAUGGGCUGAUUUGGUAGCAGGCAUGCCGGUCAAAAUAUGUUACCCUGCUCUUGAAGGUCAGGAGUGGCAGAUCAUCACAGGGUGUGAUCCCAAGAACACGCCUUGGUCUUACCACAAUGGAGGUUCUUGGCCAACUUUGCUCUGGCAGCUUACGGUGGCUUGCAUUAAGAUGAAUCGGCCAGACAUUGCAGCAAGAGCUGUUGAAGUUGCCGAGAAACGCUUAGCGCAAGACAACUGGCCCGAAUACUACGACACCAAAAGUGCGAGGUUCAUUGGAAAACAGGCUCGCCAAUUCCAAACUUGGUCAAUUGCCGGAUACCUCGUUUCAAAACAACUGCUUUCCGACCCCAGUUUAGCCAAGAUUCUGAUUACCGAAGAGGACUCCGAGCUUGUCAACGCUUUCUCUUGUGCCAUCAGUUCAAACCCCAGGAAGAAAAAACGAGGCCCAAAAAGUUCCCAGAAGACCUACAUCGUAUAAGUUCUGAGCCGUAUGAUUCACACAGUUUUCGUCAAUCAACAGUUCAUCUAUGACUGCUGUAUUGCACAUUUGUACAGUUCGGGUUUGCGGGAUUUAAGAGUAGAGACGAUAUAAUCUCUAGUAUAUAGUAGCUUCUUUAAGUGGAACUAUAGUGUUCUUGCCAUUUAUAAAGGACAUAAGAUCCACUACUGUUUUAUCUUGUAUUCUCUUAGAGCUCUUAUUGUGAUAUAUGUAUUUGAGUUUGGGACUUUGGGUAUAUAAGUGAUUACACCGGUGAAUAUUCUACUCA
Molecule: RNA transcript, 2493 nt
Organism: Ipomoea nil (Japanese morning glory)
Lineage: Eukaryota; Viridiplantae; Streptophyta; Magnoliopsida; Solanales; Convolvulaceae
Gene name: neutral/alkaline invertase 3, chloroplastic-like
Exons: 8
Source: RefSeq, a predicted model, not a curated record